Jaculus jaculus (lesser Egyptian jerboa) is the source of this 109-nucleotide small nuclear RNA. Lineage: Eukaryota; Metazoa; Chordata; Mammalia; Rodentia; Dipodidae. The record is from Ensembl.
GUGCUGCCUUCAGCAGCACCCAUGCUAAAAAAUUGGAACAAUACAGAGACUAUUACAAAGGCCCCUGCACAAGGGUGACAUGCAAAUUCAUGAGGUGUUUCAAUUUAUU